UACGUAGGGUGCGAGCGUUGUCCGGAAUUACUGGGCGUAAAGAGCUCGUAGGUGGUUUGUCGCGUUGUUCGUGAAAACUCACAACUCAAUUGUGGGCGUGCGGGCGAUACGGGCAGACUGGAGUACUGCAGGGGAGACUGGAAUUCCUGGUGUAGCGGUGGAAUGCGCAGAUAUCAGGAGGAACACCAACAGCGAAGGCAGAUCUCUGGGACGUUACUGACGCUGAGACGCGAAAGCGUGGGGAGCGAACAGG
Molecule: ribosomal RNA, 253 nt
Filed under: uncultured bacterium
Lineage: Bacteria
Description: partial 16S ribosomal RNA
Rfam family: Bacterial small subunit ribosomal RNA
Source: RNAcentral